Molecule: long non-coding RNA, 944 nt
Organism: Carassius gibelio (silver crucian carp)
Lineage: Eukaryota; Metazoa; Chordata; Actinopteri; Cypriniformes; Cyprinidae
Exons: 5
Source: RefSeq, a predicted model, not a curated record
ACAGAAGAGACUUCAGGCAGGUCGAUACAUCCAUCUUCACACCCAAAGACGGUCAACGACGGGCUGAAACUAAAAAUAUUAACUGAUAUGAGGGAACAUAUCUGAACAGUUUCGCGGCAGAAAAGUUUAUACCCCCUUUCUGUGAAGAAUGGUUGAGAGGCGGUAUUCGACGACGUCCUGUAUGUACGUCAUAGUUGGGCUAUACAGUGUGGGCCACUUAUUUCUGCAGCCUGGGAAUGAUUUUUCUGUCACAGCAACCCAGGCAGACAUUGAGGCACAGCAGGUGACACCCAGGCUCAUUAUGUUUGGACAUUCAAUUGUGACAGCAUCCAAGUGGAUGCUAUCCAUUGAGGGAAAUGUUCUGUUGGCACUGAACAGCAGUGAUAAAUUUACUGUAUAAAUGCCUUUGCAGUGAACUUUGCAAGCUACAUCUUCAACAUCGAGUACCAGGAGUCUGCUGCUUGUACAUUAGAGCUUGUUCAGGGGCAAGUUAAUUUCUAUGUGCGUUUCGCUUUUAUUAAAAUUGUAUUGUAUUAAAUUAUGUUACUCAAUCAACAGUAAGAAAUAAAAAAUGGAGUAUGGGAGGAAUCUAAUUUGAGAACUAGGUUGAGUGCAUUAGUCUUCUUUUUUUUUCAAGAAUAUUUAUUAACUGGUAUGAUAAUGCUAACAUGUUCCUGGUUCCUGGUUACUGUUAGUGGGACGCUUGUUGUUCUUUUUAGUUGUUGUUGCUCACUUGUCAUUCUUUUACUCAACCCAAUCUUCAAGUUCUCUUUUCUUGAAUGUUUUUGUUUCAUUUACAUUUGUGCACACUUAAAGGGAUAGUUGACCCAAAAAAUGUUAAUUCUGUCAUUGUUUACCCAACCUCAAGUUGUUCCAAACCUGAAUGAAUUUCAUCCUUUUGUUGAAAACAAAAGGUGAUAUUUAAAAAAAUAUUAGUAACCAGA